GACGAACGCUGGCGGCGUGCUUAGCACAUGCAAGUCGAACGGAAAGGCCCUGCUUUUGUGGGGUGCUCGAGUGGCGAACGGGUGAGUAACACGUGAGUAACCUGCCCUUGACUUUGGGAUAACCUCAGGAAACUGGGGCUAAUACCGGAUAGGAGCUCCUGCUGCAUGGUGGGGGUUGGAAAGUUUCGGCGGUUGGGGAUGGACUCGCGGCUUAUCAGCUUGUUGGUGGGGUAGUGGCUUACCAAGGCUUUGACGGGUAGCCGGCCUGAGAGGGUGACCGGCCACAUUGGGACUGAGAUACGGCCCAGACUCCUACGGGAGGCAGCAGUGGGGAAUAUUGCACAAUGGGCGGAAGCCUGAUGCAGCAACGCCGCGUGCGGGAUGACGGCCUUCGGGUUGUAAACCGCUUUCGCCUGUGACGAAGCGUGAGUGACGGUAAUGGGUAAAGAAGCACCGGCUAACUACGUG
RNAcentral lists this ribosomal RNA (468 nucleotides) under uncultured bacterium. RNAcentral describes it as "partial 16S ribosomal RNA". It matches the Rfam family "Bacterial small subunit ribosomal RNA", at positions 28 to 507 of the family's 1533-position model. The record is from RNAcentral.